UACGGAGGGUGCAAACGUUGCUCGGAAUCAUUGGGCGUAAAGCGCACGUAGGCGGCCCAGCAAGUCGGGUGUGAAAGCCCUCGGCUCAACCGAGGAAGUGCAUUCGAAACUGCUGGGCUUGAAUACUGGAGAGGAUCGCGGAAUUCCCGGUGUAGAGGUGAAAUUCGUAGAUAUCGGGAGGAACACCAGUGGCGAAGGCGGCGAUCUGGACAGAUAUUGACGCUGAGGUGCGAAAGCGUGGGGAGCAAACAGG
RNAcentral lists this ribosomal RNA (253 nucleotides) under uncultured bacterium. Its description in RNAcentral is "partial 16S ribosomal RNA". It matches the Rfam family "Bacterial small subunit ribosomal RNA", at positions 524 to 776 of the family's 1533-position model. The record is from RNAcentral.